UGCCAGCCGCCGCGGUAAUACAGAGGGUGCGAGCGUUAAUCGGAAUUACUGGGCGUAAAGCGCGCGUAGGUGGUUUAUUAAGUCGGAUGUGAAAUCCCCGGGCUCAACCUGGGAACUGCAUUCGAUACUGGUAGACUUGAGUAUGGUAGAGGGAAGUGGAAUUUCCGGUGUAGCGGUGAAAUGCGUAGAUAUCGGAAGGAACACCAGUGGCGAAGGCGGCUUCCUGGACCAAUACUGACACUGAGGUGCGAAAGCGUGGGGAGCAAACAGGAUUAGAUA
This 279-nucleotide ribosomal RNA is filed under the name uncultured bacterium. Its description in RNAcentral is "partial 16S ribosomal RNA". It matches the Rfam family "Bacterial small subunit ribosomal RNA", at positions 506 to 784 of the family's 1533-position model. The record is from RNAcentral.